AGAGUUUGAUCCUGGCUCAGGAUGAACGCUGGCGGCGUGCCUAAUACAUGCAAGUCGAGCGAACGGACGAGAAGCUUGCUUCUCUGAUGUUAGCGGCGGACGGGUGAGUAACACGUGGAUAACCUACCUAUAAGACUGGGAUAACUUCGGGAAACCGGAGCUAAUACCGGAUAAUAUUUUGAACCGCAUGGUUCAAAAGUGAAAGACGGUCUUGCUGUCACUUAUAGAUGGAUCCGCGCUGCAUUAGCUAGUUGGUAAGGUAACGGCUUACCAAGGCAACGAUGCAUAGCCGACCUGAGAGGGUGAUCGGCCACACUGGAACUGAGACACGGUCCAGACUCCUACGGGAGGCAGCAGUAGGGAAUCUUCCGCAAUGGGCGAAAGCCUGACGGAGCAACGCCGCGUGAGUGAUGAAGGUCUUCGGAUCGUAAAACUCUGUUAUUAGGGAAGAACAUAUGUGUAAGUAACUGUGCACAUCUUGACGGUACCUAAUCAGAAAGCCACGGCUAACUACGUGCCAGCAGCCGCGGUAAUACGUAGGUGGCAAGCGUUAUCCGGAAUUAUUGGGCGUAAAGCGCGCGUAGGCGGUUUUUUAAGUCUGAUGUGAAAGCCCACGGCUCAACCGUGGAGGGUCAUUGGAAACUGGAAAACUUGAGUGCAGAAGAGGAAAGUGGAAUUCCAUGUGUAGCGGUGAAAUGCGCAGAGAUAUGGAGGAACACCAGUGGCGAAGGCGACUUUCUGGUCUGUAACUGACGCUGAUGUGCGAAAGCGUGGGGAUCAAACAGGAUUAGAUACCCUGGUAGUCCACGCCGUAAACGAUGAGUGCUAAGUGUUAGGGGGUUUCCGCCCCUUAGUGCUGCAGCUAACGCAUUAAGCACUCCGCCUGGGGAGUACGACCGCAAGGUUGAAACUCAAAGGAAUUGACGGGGACCCGCACAAGCGGUGGAGCAUGUGGUUUAAUUCGAAGCAACGCGAAGAACCUUACCAAAUCUUGACAUCCUUUGACAACUCUAGAGAUAGAGCCUUCCCCUUCGGGGGACAAAGUGACAGGUGGUGCAUGGUUGUCGUCAGCUCGUGUCGUGAGAUGUUGGGUUAAGUCCCGCAACGAGCGCAACCCUUAAGCUUAGUUGCCAUCAUUAAGUUGGGCACUCUAAGUUGACU
This 1161-nucleotide ribosomal RNA is filed under the name Staphylococcus aureus. RNAcentral's name for it is "bacterial SSU rRNA". It matches the Rfam family "Bacterial small subunit ribosomal RNA", at positions 8 to 1150 of the family's 1533-position model. The record is from RNAcentral. Lineage: Bacteria; Bacillati; Bacillota; Bacilli; Caryophanales; Staphylococcaceae.